RNAcentral lists this ribosomal RNA (460 nucleotides) under uncultured bacterium. RNAcentral's name for it is "partial 16S ribosomal RNA". It matches the Rfam family "Bacterial small subunit ribosomal RNA", at positions 338 to 795 of the family's 1533-position model. The record is from RNAcentral.
CCUACGGGUGGCUGCAGUGAGGAAUAUUGGUCAAUGGGCGCAAGCCUGAACCAGCCAAGUCGCGUGAGGGAUGACGGUCCUAUGGAUUGUAAACCUCUUUUGUCGGGGAGCAAGGCCCGCCACGUGUGGCGGGAAGGAUAGUACCCGCAGAAAAAGCAUCGGCUAACUCCGUGCCAGCAGCCGCGGUAAUACGGAGGAUGCGAGCGUUAUACGGAUUUAUUGGGUUUAAAGGGUGCGUAGGCGGACGGUUAAGUCAGCGGUCAAAUGUCGGUGCUCAACACCGGCCUGCCGUUGAAACUGGUAGACUGGAGUGAGCGAGAGGUAAGCGGAAUGCGUGGUGUAGCGGUGAAAUGCGUAGAUAUCACGAAGAACAUCGAUUGCGAAGGCAGCAUACCGGCGCACAACUGACGCUGAGGCGCGAAAGCGUGGGGAUCGAACAGGAUUAGAUACCCCUGUAGUC